AGAGAAAAAGUGUGGAAAAUCAAGGAAAACAAGUGAAAAAGGUGGUGAGUCCUCCGACAAAGGCAAGGAAAUUGCACUCGAGGAUCGAUAAUCGGAGUACUUUAGAAAUUUGACUCCCGAAAUAGCUCAGAGUAGGUUGUAUAUAGCUGAUUCCAUUGAGGGCUUCCCUUGGAUUUGCGUCCUCCAAACUGUAGGAUUACAGUUUUCCUUACUUCUAGUUAUUCAUGGGCCCACUUGAUAUUGUAAAUUAUAUUAAUUUAAAUACUCUGGUUUACUGUGUCACAGUGUGAAUGAAUAAAUUUAUUUGGCUUUUACAUUGCC
Non-coding RNA from Theobroma cacao (cacao), 321 nucleotides. The record is from RefSeq and is a predicted model, not a curated record. NCBI's taxonomy places the organism in Eukaryota, Viridiplantae, Streptophyta, Magnoliopsida, Malvales, Malvaceae.